AGAGUUUGAUCAUGGCUCAGGAUGAACGCUAGCUACAGGCUUAACACAUGCAAGUCGAGGGGCAGCAUUUUUAGUUUGCUUGCAAACUAAAGAUGGCGACCGGCGCACGGGUGAGUAACACGUAUCCAACCUGCCGAUAACUCUGGGAUAGCCUUUCGAAAGAAAGAUUAAUACCGGAUGGCAUAGGAUUAUCGCAUGAUAAUCCUAUUAAAGAAUUUCGGUUAUCGAUGGGGAUGCGUUCCAUUAGG
RNAcentral lists this ribosomal RNA (248 nucleotides) under uncultured bacterium. RNAcentral describes it as "partial 16S ribosomal RNA". It matches the Rfam family "Bacterial small subunit ribosomal RNA", at positions 8 to 245 of the family's 1533-position model. The record is from RNAcentral.